GAUUUCUGGCUUGAAACAUUUUGCCGGCCACGGUUUCGUGUGUUAGUGCUUGAUGUUCUGGCCAUCCUUCCAAUUGCUAUUCACUUCUCUUCAUUGAUUGGUGAGUGGUAUUGGAUCUUUUACUUUGAAAAAAUUAGAGUGUUUCAAGCAGGCUUUUGCUAUGAGUACAUUAGCAUGGAGUAAUAAUUUAGGACUUCGGUUCUAUUUUGUUGGUUUCUAGUACUGAAGUAAUGAUUGAUAGGGAUAGUUGGGGGUGCUCGAAUUCAGCGGCCAGAGGUGAAAUUCUUGGAUUCGCUGAAGACGAACUCAUGCGAAAGCAUU
This 321-nucleotide ribosomal RNA is filed under the name Sandonidae sp. RNAcentral's name for it is "SSU rRNA". The stretch from base 62 to 321 matches the Rfam family "Eukaryotic small subunit ribosomal RNA", at positions 694 to 955 of the family's 1831-position model. Lineage: Eukaryota; Cercozoa; Glissomonadida; Sandonidae. The record is from RNAcentral.